UGUUCUCAGGGCGGGGCGAAAUUCCCCACCGGCGGUGAUAGCCCGCGAGCGGCCCGUAAGGGUGUCAGCAGAUUUGGUGAAAUUCCAAAGCCGACGGUCAUAGUCCGGAUGAAAGAGAGCG
This 121-nucleotide non-coding RNA is filed under the name marine eukaryotic metagenome. RNAcentral describes it as "FMN riboswitch (RFN element)". It matches the Rfam family "FMN riboswitch aptamer (RFN element)". Rfam says of the family: The RFN element is a highly conserved domain that is found frequently in the 5'-untranslated regions of prokaryotic mRNAs that encode for flavin mononucleotide (FMN) biosynthesis and transport proteins. The record is from RNAcentral.